Molecule: ribosomal RNA, 497 nt
Filed under: uncultured bacterium
Lineage: Bacteria
Description: partial 16S ribosomal RNA
Rfam family: Bacterial small subunit ribosomal RNA
Source: RNAcentral
GAUGAACGCUGGCGGCGUGCCUAAUACAUGCAAGUCGAACGAACAGGCUAUGAUCUUUGUCGGCGGGCUGAGGCGGCAAAGGGGUGAUUAACAGGGGGAUAACCGACCUAUGCGACUGGGAUAACGUCGGAAAACCGGGGCUAAUACGGGAUAGUAGAUUGAACCGCAUGGGUCAGUAGGGGAAGACUUUUUUGCUGGCACUUAUAGAUGGAUCCGCGCCGCAUUAGCUAGUUGGUAAGGUAACGGCUUACCAAGGAAACGAUGCGUAGCCGACCGGAGAGGGUGAUCGGCCACACAGGAACUGAGAGACGGUCCAGACUCCUACGGGAGGCAGCCGUCGGGAAUCUUUCGUAAUGGGCGAAAGCCUGCCGGAGCAACGCCGCGUGCGUGAUGAAGGUAUUCGGACCGUAAAACUCUGUUAUUCGGGAAGAACAAAUGUGUAAGCAACUACGCACGUCUUGACGGUACCUAAUCAGAAAGCCCCGGCUAACUACGUG